GACGAACGCUGGCGGCGUGCUUAACACAUGCAAGUCGAACGGUGAAGCGCCUUCCUUUUUGGUGGGUGUGGAUGAGUGGCGAACGGGUGAGUAACACGUGAGUAACCUGCCCCCUUCUUCUGGAUAACCGCAUGAAAGUGUGGCUAAUACGGGAUAUUCUGGGUCUGUCGCAUGAUGGGUCUGGGAAAGAUAUUGUUUCGGUGGGGGAUGGGCUCGCGGCCUAUCAGCUUGUUGGUGGGGUGAUGGCCUACCAAGGCGGUGACGGGUAGCCGGCCUGAGAGGGUGGACGGUCACACUGGGACUGAGACACGGCCCAGACUCCUACGGGAGGCAGCAGUGGGGAAUAUUGCACAAUGGGCGCAAGCCUGAUGCAGCGACGCCGCGUGAGGGAUGGAGGCCUUCGGGUUGCGAACCUCUUUCGCCAGUGAAGCAGGCCUGCCUCGUUUGUGGGUGGGUUGACGGUAGCUGGAGAAGAAGCGCCGGCUAACUACGUG
This 494-nucleotide ribosomal RNA is filed under the name uncultured bacterium. RNAcentral's name for it is "partial 16S ribosomal RNA". It matches the Rfam family "Bacterial small subunit ribosomal RNA", at positions 28 to 507 of the family's 1533-position model. The record is from RNAcentral.